This is a long non-coding RNA of Lycium barbarum (goji berry), 3335 nucleotides long. RefSeq lists it as uncharacterized. NCBI's taxonomy places the organism in Eukaryota, Viridiplantae, Streptophyta, Magnoliopsida, Solanales, Solanaceae. The record is from RefSeq and is a predicted model, not a curated record. The transcript is spliced from 2 exons.
CAAAUUGGAGCAAAACGGAUUUUUAGAAAAUCCCAAGUGUGGAAAUGGCUUUUUUAAACUGGUUUAUAACUUAAAGGUUAUUUUUAAACACUUUUGGGCCAAAAGCCCAAACCUUAAGGCAAAUAAAUAAAAGAAAAUGCACUUGAACCUUAGUUGGCUCUGGAAUGGAAUAUGGUUGACCAAUUGAGCUUAAAAUGGACUAAAACAAAUAAAUAAACUGUUUUCCCUAUUUAUACUUACAACCUAUAUUAUUUAUAUGGACAUAUACUCCAUUUAUUUUCCUAUACAUAUACAAAACUUAUAAGGACAAAAUCAUGACAUUAGGAUCAAAUUAGUAGGAACUCUACUUAAGAGAAAAUCUUAAGUGUGUUUUGGUCCGAAAAUGAAGUAAAUUUAACCCGCUUAUAACAUUUUCUCAAAAAGAAACCAACGAUUUCUCCUUAAAGGAUAUUUUUCCAAAAAAUGGAGUUUUAUGAUUAGCAUGACAGUUUUUCAAUAAAGAAAAUAUUUUAGCAAAUAAUCACAAUUAAUCAUACCUUGAAGCUCGAAGGUCAACCGUAUUCUACAGAUCCUUAAUACUAGGGUGUUUAAAACCUUCCCUAAGAGAUCACUAGAAUCCUUACCUCGAACUCUGGUUUUAAAAGGAUUUUUCUUUGUUUGAAUAAACCCUUUUUACUCGGUUUUCCUAAUUUCCUUUAUAAAAUUAGGUGGUGAUUCUAAAAAAUACGAAAAUCCAAAUAGAGUCCGCAACUUCUUAGUAGCUUUUAUGCGUCCGCGAAAGUGAACCGUAAUAGUUAUUUUGGACAUUAAAUAGAUUCUUCGAAUUAUCAAAACAAAAACUACAAAUCAAACUAGAAAGUAAAGACAAAGAAUUGAGUUACUAUAAGGUAAACACCUAGAUUACAAACCAAGAGAGAAAAAGAUUGAUAUGCACCAUAAUAUUUUAAGUAUUUUACAUAAAAUUAUACAUGUAGUCGGUUUGGUUCGGGUUUUUUCGAUUUUUUUUGCUUAAAAUCAAAACGAAACCAAAUAAAAAAGCAUCGGUUUUUUUUGGUAUGGUUUGGUUUGAUUUUUUUAUUUUUCCUGAACACCCCUAGUAAAGAUGUACAUAAUAGGAAAGCUUAUGGUUCUUCAUUUGUGCAUGCAUAUUAAUUCAUUUGUGAGUGCGAGAGUUGUUCGUUGAUAAUGUUGUGUCCUUAAUUUACAUUUGAGUGUGUGGACUUUUUCUUCAUGUGACAGCACUUGUUUCAUGAUAGAUAGGUGAUGUUAUUAGCUUUCUUUGAAAGAGUAGGUGAGUAAGCUUCAACGUGAUGAGUUAGAGUCUGUCCUAAGGUUAGGAGCAGUGGCGGAUUCAGGAUUUCCACUCAGGGUGUUCGGAAAAUAACUGAACCACUUGAGCUAGCCUUUUACAUUUGUUCAGGAUGUUCAAAAGUUAAUAUAUGUACAUGAACACAGAAAAUUUAUCCUAAAUAUACAUUGUAAUUUUUUGUCCAAGGUGUUCGGGUGAACACCCUAGGCUAGGAGUACAUCCGCCCCUGGUUAGGAGUCUAAAAGUAUGUUAUUUACUUGAGUUGACUUGUACAUCUUGCAUGAUGAUAAAAAAAAAAAAAAAAAAAAAAAAAAAAAAUGUAUAUUUGAUGGUUUAAUUUGCUAUAGAACCUAAUUGUUGUCUCAACCUAUGUCAUGGGUAGGAGGAUUUAGAGUGCUAGCUUAAGUGAUUGUAAGUUUAGAGUGUCAGAAAUUGCUCGAGGACAAGCAAAGGUUCAAGUGUGGGGUUGUGAUCGGCAACUAGAAGUACAUAUUUUUAGCUACAUUCCUCCUCAUAUUUCAUACUCUUUUCUUUUGGUUAAAUUCAUUUUAUUCGCUUUAUUUUUAAUAUUUGCGUUUUACUGUUACCGGAGGUGAUUAGAUGACAAGAUGAUGAUUUUGAUGCUAAAAAGUGAUGAAAGUGGCUUUGAAAUAGGAGUAGAAGUCAAUAUCAAAGAUUGGGAUCGAGUUAGGACCCGGGGGCCAAAUACGCAUGAGAAGAAGUUGAAAAAAUGAGUAUCGUAAGAAAUGGCAUGGUGCACUGUCCCACCUAGCAGGGAGUGCAUCGCAUCGGUGCAAGUUUUAUAAAACCUGUAGAUUCUAACUAUUUGAAGUUUUGACUUGGUGCUUAGUGUCAUGCGCCACCCCUUGCGGCACAUCAAAUCAUAUUCUGCGCAAUCCGGUCGCUUUUGCGAAAUAGGGCUCAUUUGCAAUAACCGGUAUUGCGAAAAAAGCAGACUUCUGGGGGUUCUCCUUUUGCAAGGGAUUUUCCGCAAUUGCGAGGGUCGAAUUGGACCGAGGAGGAGGAUGAGGGAAAGGGCGUGAGGAGCAGGGGGUUUGUGUAGAAUGUAGAUAAUAAAUUUUUAAAAGGAAAAUUUAUUUGUCAUAGUUAUCUCUAAGACUUAUUUAUGAAUAAUAACUGUCUUAUGUUUUAUUUAAUUUUUGUAGCUUUAUUUUUCCAAAAUUACAUUUCAUAACUGGUCCAAUAACUUUUGAAAUACAUGUACCUCUGUAUUCUCCCUCACUACAUAUUUAAGAUUUAUCAUCUUCUCCAAAUCCUAAAAAAAAAAUCUCUCUCCUCUCUCCCCUUCCCCUCACUGCCGCCUCUCUCCCUCCCUUUCUCUAUCUCGGACCUCUCUUCUCCUUCAGCCAAAAUUCGUGAGGCAACUGAGCGUUAAAGCUCGUAGAAACUGUAGCAACGUCGUUGUUGCACAAGUUGUUGCUGCUUCCUAGUCGAAUAACAACCAUGACUUUACUCCGGCGGCUGCUAAAGCCGUUGAUGCCGCUGCCAUUGCUCAUGUUGUUGAUGAUGAUGAGGUGGCAGCGACGGUGGUGGAACGACCCCAAAUCUGACAAUACACUCAGAUCUGAAAAAGAGGGAGAAGUGGGUUUCACCGGAGCCACCACUACCACCACCACUAUUACUACCAUCUCCAUCUCCAUCUCCAAACUCGUAAAAAACAUUAAGGUUCUAGUUCUUCAGAUCUGAACUCCAUAUGUUUCAUGUAUUAAUGAUUUUUGGUAGUGGUUCGGUAUGGUUUUUGGAGUGGAGGAGGACAGUGGUGGAUCGAAGAAAGGCGGCGGAGGAAGGAAGAGGUUUUUUCUAGUUUGUUGUGGUGGUUCGGUAGGGUUUUUGGAGUAAAGCAGGAUGGUUGAUCGGAAGAAAGGCGGCGGAGGAAGGAGGAAGGUUUUUCCAGUUGUUGUGGUGGUUCGGUAGGGUUUGUGAUUGUGGUGUUUCAAUAUAUUUCUGUGUAUUUCGCUAUAUUUCAAUGUACUGUUUCAGUAUAUUUCAGUGUACUGUUUCUGUA